GACGAACGCUGGCGGCGUGCCUAACACAUGCAAGUCGAACGGAAGUUAGAGCUUCGGUUUUAACUUUAGUGGCGAACGGGUGAGUAACGCGUGAGGAACCUGCCUUUCAGUGGGGGACAACAGUUGGAAACGACUGCUAAUACCGCAUGACACUUUUGGGAGACAUCUCCUGGAAGUCAAAGCUUUAUGUGCUGAAAGAUGGCCUCGCGUCUGAUUAGCUGGUUGGUGAGGUAACGGCUCACCAAGGCGACGAUCAGUAGCCGGUCUGAGAGGAUGAACGGCCACAUUGGGACUGAGAUACGGCCCAGACUCCUACGGGAGGCAGCAGUGGGGAAUAUUGGGCAAUGGGGGAAACCCUGACCCAGCAACGCCGCGUGAAGGAAGAAGGCCUUCGGGUUGUAAACUUCUUUUACCAGGGACGAAGGACGUGACGGUACCUGGAGAAAAAGCAA
This 452-nucleotide ribosomal RNA is filed under the name uncultured bacterium. RNAcentral's name for it is "bacterial SSU rRNA". It matches the Rfam family "Bacterial small subunit ribosomal RNA", at positions 28 to 493 of the family's 1533-position model. The record is from RNAcentral.